This 75-nucleotide transfer RNA is filed under the name Schistocerca americana (American grasshopper). RNAcentral's name for it is "tRNA-Thr". It matches the Rfam family "tRNA". From Rfam's summary of the family: Transfer RNA (tRNA) molecules are approximately 80 nucleotides in length. The record is from RNAcentral. Lineage: Eukaryota; Metazoa; Arthropoda; Insecta; Orthoptera; Acrididae.
GCCCUCGAUGGCUCAGAUGGAUAGAGCGUCUGCCAUGUAAGCAGGAGGUCCCGGGUUCGGAUCCCGGUCGGGGCA